GACGAACGCUGGCGACGUGCUUAACACAUGCAAGUCGAGCGGAAAGGCCCUUUCGGGGGUACUCGAGCGGCGAACGGGUGAGUAACACGUGAGUAAUCUGCCCCUGGCUUUGGGAUAGCCACCGGAAACGGUGAUUAAUACCGGAUACGACCACUUUUCGCCUGGGAUGGUGGUGGAAAGUUUUUCGGCCAGGGAUGUGCUCGCGGCCUAUCAGCUUGAUGGUGAGGUAAUGGCUCACCAUGGCUUCGACGGGUAGCCGGCCAGAGUGGGUGACCGGUCACACUGGGACUGAGACACGGCCCAGCCUCCGACGGGAGGCAGCAGUGGGGGAUAUUGGACAAUGGGCGGAAGCCUGAUCCAGCAACGCCGCGUGAGGGAUGACGGCCUUCGGGUUGUAAACCUCUUUCAGCAGGGACGAAGCGCAAGUGACGGUACCUGCAGAAGAAGCACCGGCCAACUACGUGCCAGCAGCCGCCGUAA
RNAcentral lists this ribosomal RNA (480 nucleotides) under uncultured bacterium. RNAcentral describes it as "partial 16S ribosomal RNA". It matches the Rfam family "Bacterial small subunit ribosomal RNA", at positions 28 to 523 of the family's 1533-position model. The record is from RNAcentral.